This 566-nucleotide ribosomal RNA is filed under the name uncultured bacterium. Its description in RNAcentral is "bacterial SSU rRNA". It matches the Rfam family "Bacterial small subunit ribosomal RNA", at positions 28 to 638 of the family's 1533-position model. The record is from RNAcentral.
AGCGAACGCUGGCGGCAGGCUUAACACAUGCAAGUCGAGCGGGCGUAGCAAUACGUCAGCGGCAGACGGGUGAGUAACGCGUGGGAACAUACCUUUUGGUUCGGAACAACACAGGGAAACUUGUGCUAAUACCGGAUAAGCCCUUACGGGGAAAGAUUUAUCGCCGAAAGAUUGGCCCGCGUCUGAUUAGCUAGUUGGUGAGGUAACGGCUCACCAAGGCGACGAUCAGUAGCUGGUCUGAGAGGAUGAUCAGCCACAUUGGGACUGAGACACGGCCCAAACUCCUACGGGAGGCAGCAGUGGGGAAUAUUGGACAAUGGGCGCAAGCCUGAUCCAGCCAUGCCGCGUGAGUGAUGAAGGCCCUAGGGUUGUAAAGCUCUUUUGUGCGGGAAGAUAAUGACGGUACCGCAAGAAUAAGCCCCGGCUAACUUCGUGCCAGCAGCCGCGGUAAUACGAAGGGGGCUAGCGUUGCUCGAAAUCACUGGGCGUAAAGGGUGCGUAGGCGGGUCUUUAAGUCAGGGGUGAAAUCCUGGAGCUCAACUCCAGAACUGCCUUUGAUACUGAGG